UGCUGCAUGGCUGUCGUCAGCUCGUGUCGUGAGAUGUUCGGUUAAGUCCGCUAACGAGCGCAACCCUCGCUGUGUGUUAUAUGUGUCACACGGGACUGCCGGUCUUUAAGCCGGAGGAAGUGGGGAUGAUGUCAAGUCAGCAUGGCCUUUAUAUCCUGGGCUACACACACGCUACAAUGGCCAACACAAUAGGUUGCUAAGCCGCGAGGUGGCGCCAAUCCAUAAAGUUGGUCUCAGUUCAGAUUGCAGUCUGCAACUCGACUGCAUGAAGCCGGAGUUGCUAGUAACCGCAGGUCAGCAAUACUGCGGUGAAUACGUUCCCGGGUCUU
This 329-nucleotide ribosomal RNA is filed under the name uncultured Leptolinea sp. RNAcentral describes it as "bacterial SSU rRNA". It matches the Rfam family "Bacterial small subunit ribosomal RNA", at positions 1039 to 1382 of the family's 1533-position model. Lineage: Bacteria; Bacillati; Chloroflexota; Anaerolineae; Anaerolineales; Anaerolineaceae. The record is from RNAcentral.